GGUAACUGCUUAACACCCUGAACACACCUGAUCUCGUCUGAUCUUGGAUACUAAGCAGGGUCGGGUCUGGUUAGUACUUGUAUGGGAGACCACCUGGGAUUACCAGGUGCUGUAAGCU
RNAcentral lists this ribosomal RNA (118 nucleotides) under Amphilophus citrinellus (Midas cichlid). Lineage: Eukaryota; Metazoa; Chordata; Actinopteri; Cichliformes; Cichlidae. The record is from RNAcentral.